AUUGAACGCUGGCGGCAGGCCUAACACAUGCAAGUCGAACGAGUGGCGGACGGGUGAGUAAUGUAUGUGAAACUGCCUGAUGGAGGGGGAUAACUAAUGGAAACGGUAGCUAAUACCGCAUACCAGAAGGUGUGCCCAAAUGGGAUUAGCUAGUUGGUGGGGUAACGGCUCACCAGGGCGACGAUCCCUAGCUGGUCUGAGAGGAUGAACAUCCACACUGGAACUGAGACACGGUCCAGACUCCGACGGGAGGCAGCAGUGGGGAAGAUUGGACAAGGGGCGCAAGCCUGAUGCAGCCAUGCCGCGUGUAUGAAGAAGGCCUUCGGGUUGUAAAGUACUUUCAGCGGGGAGGCGUUACCCGCAGAAGAAGCACCGGCUAACUCCGUGCCAGCAGCCGCGGUAAUAC
This 406-nucleotide ribosomal RNA is filed under the name uncultured bacterium. RNAcentral's name for it is "partial 16S ribosomal RNA". It matches the Rfam family "Bacterial small subunit ribosomal RNA", at positions 30 to 526 of the family's 1533-position model. The record is from RNAcentral.